Molecule: ribosomal RNA, 1353 nt
Filed under: uncultured marine eukaryote
Lineage: Eukaryota
Description: SSU rRNA
Rfam family: Eukaryotic small subunit ribosomal RNA
Source: RNAcentral
CACUUCUAAGGAAGGCAGCAGGCGCGCAAAUUACCCAAUCCUGACUCAGGGAGGUAGUGACAAGAAAUAACAAUAAACCGGCUUAUGCCGGUUUAAUUGGAAUGAGUACAAUUUAAACAUCUUAACGAGGAACAAUUGGAGGGCAAGUCUGGUGCCAGCAGCCGCGGUAAUUCCAGCUCCAAUAGCGUAUACUAAAGUUGUUGCAGUUAAAAAGCUCGUAGUUGGAUUUCUGUGGGGACGGAGCGGCCGGCCGCACAUCGCGGUUCGAGCUAGCGCUUUCCCUACAUCCUGCCGCGAACCGUGCUACCAUUAGUUUGGUGGCGCUGGGGAUCGGCUCGAUUACUUUGAGAAAAAUAGAGUGUUCAAAGCAGGCCACAUGCCUUGAAUAAGUUAGCAUGGAAUAAUAACUAAGGACUUCGGUUCUAUUUUGUUGGUGUUCGGGACUGAAGUAAUGAUUGAUAGGGACAGUUGGGGCGGUCUGUAUUCCAAAGCGAGAGGUGAAAUUCUUAGACCUUCGGAAGACAAACAGCUGCGAAAGCGUUCCGCAAGGAUGUUCCCUUUGAUCAAGAACGAAAGUUGGGGGAUCGAAGACGAUCAGAUACCGUCGUAGUCUCAACUAUAAACUAUACCAGCUAGGGAUCGGCCAACGUUAUUUUAUACCGACUUGGUCGGCACCUUAUGAGAAAUCAAAGCAUCUGGGUUCCGGGGGGAGUAUGGUCGCAAGGCUGAAACUUAAAGGAAUUGACGGAAGGGCACCACCAGCCGUGGAGCCUGUGGCUUAAUUUGACUCAACACGGGAAAACUUACCAGGUCCAGACAUAGUAAGGAUUGACAGAUUGAUAGCUCUUUCUUGAUUCUGUGGGUGGUGGUGCAUGGCCGUUCUUAGUUGGUGGAGUGAUUUGUCUGGUUAAUUCCGUUAACGAACGAGACCCCAGCCUGCUAAAUAGCGCGCGUGAGCUUUGCUCGCGGCGAGCUUCUUAGAGGGACUAUGAUGCGCGAUAGCACAUGGAAGUUUGGGGCAAUAACAGGUCUGUGAUGCCCUUAGAUGUUCUGGGCCGCACACGGGCUACACUGGCGCCUGCAACGAGCAUAUCAGCUGGCCCGAGAGGGUCUUGGCUAAUCUUUUGAACCGGCGCCGUGCUUGGGAUUGACCUUUGCAAUUGUUGGUCAUGCAACGAGGAAUGCCUUGUAAACGCGAGUCAUCAGCUCGCAUUGAAUACGUCCCUGCCCUUUGUACACACCGCCCGUCGCUCCUACCGAUGAAUGUUCCGAUGAAAUUUUCGGAGAGCACCUGUGAACUUGGCUCUGCCUUGCGAACGGGAGGCUCAAAGUCACUUAAAUCUGAACAUUUCG